Molecule: ribosomal RNA, 842 nt
Filed under: uncultured archaeon
Lineage: Archaea
Description: bacterial SSU rRNA
Rfam family: Archaeal small subunit ribosomal RNA
Source: RNAcentral
UGUAGUAAUACAAGGCAGACGGCUCAGUAACGCGUAGUCAACCUACCUUAUGGACGGGGAUAACCUCGGGAAACUGAGAAUAAUACCCGAUAGAACAUUAUGCCUGGAAUGGUUUAUGUUUCAAAUAAUUUAUUGCCGUAAGAUGGGACUGCGGCCUAUCAGUUUGUUGGUGAGGUAAUGGCCCACCAGGACUAUUACAGGUACGGGCUCUGAGAGGAGUAGCCCGGAGAUGGGUACUGAGACACGGACCCAGGCCCUAUGGGGCGCAGCAGGCGAGAAAACUUUGCAAUGUGCGAAAGCACGACAAGGUUAAUCCGAGUGGUUUCUGCUAAAGGAACCUUUUGUCAGUCAUAGAACCACUGAUGAAUAAGGGGUGGGCAAGUUCUGGUGUCAGCCGCCGCGGUAAAACCAGCACCUCAAGUGGUCAGGAUGAUUAUUGGGCCUAAAGCAUCCGUAGCCUGCUUUGUUAGUUUUCGGUUAAAUCCAUAUGCUCAACGUAUGGGCUGCCGGGAAUACUGCAAAGCUAGGGAGUGGGAGAGGUAGACGGUACUCGGUAGGAAGGGGUAAAAUCCUUUGAUCUAUUGAUGACCACCUGUGGCGAAGGCGGUCUACCAGAACACGUCCGACGGUGAGGGAUGAAAGCUGGGGGAGCAAACCGGAUUAGAUACCCGGGUAGUCCCAGCUGUAAACUAUGCAAACUCGGUGAUGCAUUGGCUUGAUGCCAAUGCAGUGCCGCAGGGAAGCCGUUAAGUUUGCCGCCUGGGAAGUACGUACGCAAGUAUGAAACUUAAAGGAAUUGGCGGGGGAGCACCACAAGGGGUGAAGCCUGCGGUUCAAUUGGA